GGAGGAAGAAUUGAGCGGUUAGGGAAAGAAACAGAUUGAAGAAGAUGAUGAAUGUGAGGUUGAGAGAAUGAAUGAAGACCAAACUCCUUUUGGAUCAAGAGUGAAGGUUUGGCUAUGGAGUUUGGAGUUUGGUGAAGGUGGUUGAUGAAUUGAAUAGAGGAAGAAGAUGGAAGACGAAGAAACGAGAGGUUAGAGGAUCCUCCAAUUUCUGUUAUUUUUCUGUUAUGGAUCCUCCCUUUUUCUGUUAUGGCUUUGCACUAUUUAUAGUGAUGAAAGUAUGAAAGAGUUCUGUUAGAUUUUGUUUAGAAAAAUCUGUUAGCUUUUUCUGUUUAUGCAGGAAAUUAAUCAUUUUGUUUUAUGCAGAAUUUUAAUUGUAUGCAGAAUUUUAAUAAUGCAGAAUUUUAAUUGUUGAAUUUUAUGAUGCAGAAUUUUUAUGAUGCUGAAUUAUGCAGAAUUUGAAUUAUGCAGAAUUUUUGUUUUGGAAUGCUUUAUGGCUUGUGAUGCAGAAUUUUUAUGAUGCUGAAUUUUAUGAUGCAGAAUUUCAUGCAGAAUUUUUGAUGUGAAUUAUGCAGAAUUUGAAUUAUGCAGAAUUUUUGUUUUGGAAUGCUUUAUGGCUUGUGAUGCAGUGGCUGUAGCAUUUGGAAGUUGUGAUAAUUGCAGCAUUUUCAAUUCCAUCGCCUCCUUUUCUUGUAACAGCUUUUUACAUUGUUUUCUUUUCAAUUUUUCUUCAAUGUAUAUUAAUAAAAUGUAAAAUGGAUAUUUAGAUGAUAGUUACUAAU
RNAcentral lists this long non-coding RNA (779 nucleotides) under Lathyrus oleraceus (garden pea). Its description in RNAcentral is "Pisum sativum (pea) long non-coding RNA (PSAT_LNC000972)". The record is from RNAcentral. Lineage: Eukaryota; Viridiplantae; Streptophyta; Magnoliopsida; Fabales; Fabaceae.